GACGAACGCUGGCGGCGUGCUUAACACAUGCAAGUCGAGCGGUAAGGCCCUUUCGGGGGUACACGAGCGGCGAACGGGUGAGUAACACGUGGGUGACCUGGCCUCAGCUCUGGGAUAAGCCUGGGAAACUGGGUCUAAUACUGGAUAUGACUCCACGGUGCAUGUCGUGGGGUGGAAAGCCUUGUGCGGCUGAGGAUGGGCCCGCGGCCUAUCAGCUUGUUGGUGGGGUGANGGCCUACCAAGGCGACGACGGGUAGCCGGCCUGAGAGGGCGACCGGCCACACUGGGACUGAGACACGGCCCAGACUCCUACGGGAGGCAGCAGUGGGGAAUCUUGCGCAAUGGGCGAAAGCCUGACGCAGCGACGCCGCGUGAGGGAUGACGGCCU
Molecule: ribosomal RNA, 388 nt
Filed under: uncultured bacterium
Lineage: Bacteria
Description: bacterial SSU rRNA
Rfam family: Bacterial small subunit ribosomal RNA
Source: RNAcentral